This 268-nucleotide ribosomal RNA is filed under the name unidentified gamma proteobacterium groupD. Its description in RNAcentral is "partial 16S small subunit ribosomal RNA". It matches the Rfam family "Bacterial small subunit ribosomal RNA", at positions 1106 to 1373 of the family's 1533-position model. Lineage: Bacteria; Pseudomonadati; Pseudomonadota; Gammaproteobacteria. The record is from RNAcentral.
UAUCCUUAUUUGCCAGCGCGUAGUGGCGGGAACUCUAAGGAGACUGCCGGUGAUAAACCGGAGGAAGGUGGGGACGACGUCAAGUCAUCAUGGCCCUUACGGGAUGGGCUACACACGUGCUACAAUGGCAAGUACAGAGGGCAGCAAUACCGCGAGGUGGAGCGAAUCCCACAAAGCUUGUCGUAGUCCGGAUUGGAGUCUGCAACUCGACUCCAUGAAGUCGGAAUCGCUAGUAAUCGUAGAUCAGAAUGCUACGGUGAAUACGUUC